CGCGGCCUAUCAGCUUGUUGGUGAGGUAACGGCUCACCAAGGCACCGACGGGUAGCUGGUCUGAGAGGACGAUCAGCCACACUGGAACUGAGAUACGGUCCAGACUCCUACGGGAGGCAGCAGCAGAGAAUCUUGCGCAAUGGGCGAAAGCCUGACGCAGCGACGCCGCGUGCGGGAUGAAGGCCUUCGGGUUGUAAACCGCUUUCAGGAGGGACGAAAAUGACGGUACCUCCAGAAGAAGCCCCGGCCAACUACGUGCCAGCAGCCGCGGUAAUACGUAGGGGGCGAGCGUUGUCCGGAAUCAUUGGGCGUAAAGGGCUCGUAGGCGGCUUGGUAAGUCGGCCGUGAAAACCCAGGGCUCAACCCUGGGACGCCGGUCGAUACUGCCAUGGCUUGGGUCCGGUAGAGGAGAGUGGAAUUCCCGGUGUAGCGGUGAAAUGCGCAGAUAUCGGGAGGAACACCAGUAGCGAAGGCGGCUCUCUGGGCCGGUACCGACGCUGAGGAGCGAAAGCGUGGGGAGCAAACAGGAUUAGAUACCCUGGUAGUCCACGCCGUAAACGUUGGGUACUAGGUGUGGCGGACCGAUUAACGUCUGCCGUGCCGAAGCUAACGCAUUAAGUACCCCGCCUGGGGAGUACGG
RNAcentral lists this ribosomal RNA (640 nucleotides) under uncultured bacterium. RNAcentral's name for it is "bacterial SSU rRNA". It matches the Rfam family "Bacterial small subunit ribosomal RNA", at positions 232 to 885 of the family's 1533-position model. The record is from RNAcentral.